RNAcentral lists this long non-coding RNA (336 nucleotides) under Capsicum annuum. RNAcentral describes it as "long non-coding RNA (CANN_LNC004067)". Lineage: Eukaryota; Viridiplantae; Streptophyta; Magnoliopsida; Solanales; Solanaceae. The record is from RNAcentral.
AAAACAUUGAUUUAAUAGCCAAGCCGAUGAACAAUAGGUCGGAAUAGAAUUAUACAUAUAAUUUUCACCAAAGAAAGGUUAACACUAAAACAAUGAUUGAAAUCCCAACGACGAAAAGUAAUGACAUGAACAGGGACCUAAACAACAUAUUCAUAAUAGAUAGAUACCUAGAUCUUUCAUGACUAACCAAUGGCAUUACCACGAGAUAGUAAACUCAAAGCCAUCGAGCCAAAACGUACGAGAUUAACAAUGAAUCAGAAAGUUAUAAUACAAAUAGGAAUGCAACCAACGAUAUAGCGAGAAUCAUUUCAAGUAAAUCCUACGGCUAUCAAAGCC